AACUUUUGGCAAUGGAUCACUUGGCUCUCGCAUCGAUGAAGAACGCAGCGAAAUGCGAUAAGUAAUGUGAAUUGCAGAUACCGUGAAUCAUCAAAUCUUUGAACGCACAUUGCACUGUCUAGAACUCCGGGCAGUAUACCUGUUUGAGUAUCAGCUACUCCUCUCACUAUCAGUUACCUUGGUAGCCUAGUGAGGACUUGAGUCAUCAUGGACUAUCCUCGGAUAGCCUGUGCGACUUUAAAUAGCAGUACCAGCGUCCCUAGGAUCGCUGUUAUCUUGCAGAGUUGAUGGCCUUGUGCCUAAUCCUGUUAGGGUAACAGAUCGUAUACCUAGUGGUUAAUCGUAGCUGGCUUACUAAACCAUACAGUGAUCAGUAGUUACUGAUUGACUGUGACUUUGAUCUCAAAUCAGGUAAGAUUACCCGCUGAACUUAAGCAUAUCAAUAAGCGGAGGCU
This 455-nucleotide unclassified non-coding RNA is filed under the name uncultured Basidiomycota. Its description in RNAcentral is "sequence contains ITS2". The stretch from base 1 to 153 matches the Rfam family "5.8S ribosomal RNA". Lineage: Eukaryota; Fungi; Basidiomycota. The record is from RNAcentral.